CACUCAUAACCUCCUAAUGCAACAGCACUAGCCUUUUAAGCUAGAGAAAGAGGAUCGCCCAUCCCUCCUUAAUGA
This 75-nucleotide transfer RNA is filed under the name Circus melanoleucos (pied harrier). RNAcentral describes it as "tRNA-Lys". Lineage: Eukaryota; Metazoa; Chordata; Aves; Accipitriformes; Accipitridae. The record is from RNAcentral.